CCCAAAAAAAAAAAGGACAUUAAACCUCCACGAAUUUCCACUAUUCUAACUGAAAUCUGCAUUAACCCAGAGUAAAUGGAAUACAAAAUACAAACACCUCACAGCAUCAAAAAUCCAACUAAAUUCUAAGGGUAUGUAUGACCCUCCAGGAGUUCCAUCUAUGGCCAGACACAGGAAUAAACAUUACAUUGCAGCCCUAAAUCAGUGAUUUGAAAAUCAUUCCAAUUCUGGUAAAAAGUCUGGUAGGCAGAACUCUGUUCUUGAAUUUAUUUUUUUAUUUUUAUUAUUUUUUUACUAUUAUAAUUGCGUGCAGGCUUAAUUAGUUACCUCACAUUCUGAAGUUGUCUGGCUUCUAUAUCCUCAAGUCUGAGAGUUACUGCUCUCUUGUGGGCUUCCAGCCCUUCAACUUCAGCCAUGGUUGCCACGUAUGGACCUAGCUUUCUCAGACCUUCCUCUGUCAAAGACUGCACAGUCAUGUAUUUAAGGAAAGAAUCUAAGGACACUCCAC
RNAcentral lists this unclassified non-coding RNA (508 nucleotides) under Hevea brasiliensis (rubber tree). The record is from RNAcentral. Lineage: Eukaryota; Viridiplantae; Streptophyta; Magnoliopsida; Malpighiales; Euphorbiaceae.